AUGUAGUCAUUUCCCAGGGGUUUCCUUCUUCAUUCAUCAGGGGCCAUAUUUUUUCAUUUGACAGAAAGAGCUGGAUAUUGAAGUGUAAACUCCCUUUGAGAGAAGCAGAGACAGGCUCACUGUAAGCAAUGGGUGACAAUCUCUACGCCUUUCUGAACAUGGGGUUUGAUGAAGGAAGAAGAGGAAACAUGAAGACAGUGAGAGCUUGUUAUAAAAGACUAAGUGAACCCUAAAGAGAGGGACUCAGUAAAGUUUACUGGAUGCUAAACUCAACGCUGUUUGGUUUUCAAGAGAUACAUUUUUCUUUCAACAUUCUUGUCUUCAAAGGCUAAUGGGAUGUGCUGCUCUGUUGGAAGCCAGAGUUAGGUCUUCGGGUCAGCCAUGGCUUCACUGAACUUGGCUCAAGAUUUCAGACCAGCUUCAGAUCUACUCUAUUUGGUUCAUUAUACUCCUUGAACCAGCCACCAACUAAGCCACAUUCUUCUAAUUAUACAUCGCAAGACCACAACAAGUGUUUUGAUCAUUUUACUGAUCUAAUGCAAAUCACCUUGAGUGUCAUUGCUUUUUACACCUCAGAGUGAAUCAAGACUCUGACAAGUGGUCCUGAAAUGGAUGACAAAAGCAAGAGUUGAAGAGAUAUGAGUACUUGGAGGUAGGUUUGAUCUGACUGUGCCAAAGGAGGAACAGGAAGUAAAUUUGGGACCUCUAAAAACUCUUUUCUCUUGCUUUACAAGAAUUCCCUUGCUUAAAAAAAAUGCAGUUAGACUUUUCAAUGGAUGCAACUUAAAAAAAAAAAAAAAACCUGAAAGAUAGCCUGCAAAAAAAUAAUAAAU
This 833-nucleotide long non-coding RNA is filed under the name Vulpes vulpes (red fox). RNAcentral's name for it is "lncRNA (ENSVVUG00000003196.1)". Lineage: Eukaryota; Metazoa; Chordata; Mammalia; Carnivora; Canidae. The record is from RNAcentral.